AAUUAAAAGGGACAGUUGGGGGUAUUCAUAUUCAAUAGUCAGAGGUGAAAUUCUCGGAUUUAUGGAAGAUGAACAAGUGCGAAAGCAUUUACCAAGGAUGUUUUCAUUAAUCAAGAACGAAAGUUAGGGGAUCGAAGAGGAUUAGAUACCCUCGUAGUCUUAACUAUAAACGAUACCGACUAGAGGUUAGUGAAGGUCAUUGUGUCUUGACUAGUAUCUUAUGAGAAAUCAAAGUCUUU
RNAcentral lists this ribosomal RNA (239 nucleotides) under Blastocystis sp. subtype 3. Its description in RNAcentral is "partial 18S ribosomal RNA". It matches the Rfam family "Eukaryotic small subunit ribosomal RNA", at positions 867 to 1108 of the family's 1831-position model. The record is from RNAcentral. Lineage: Eukaryota; Bigyra; Opalinata; Blastocystidae.